GUAGGGAAUAUUGCGCAAUGGACGAAAGUCUGACGCAGCGACGCCGCGUGAGUGAUGAAGGCCUUAGGGUCGUAAAGCUCUGUUGAAUGGGAAGAAAAAAAUGACGGUACCAUUCGAGGAAGGACCGGCUAACUUCGUGCCAGCAGCCGCGGUAAUACGAGGGGUCCUAGCGUUGUUCGGAAUCAUUGGGCGUAAAGGGUGUGUAGGUGGCCAUGUAAGUCAGGUGUGAAAGCCCCGGGCUCAACCCGGGAAGUGCACUUGAUACUGCGUGGCUUGAGUACCGAAGAGUGUAGUGGAAUUCCAGGUGUAGUGGUGAAAUACGUAGAUAUCUGGAGGAACACCGGUGGCGAAGGCGGCUACCUGGUCGAGUACUGACACUGAGGUGCGAAAGCGUGGGGAGCAAACAGGAUUAGAAACCCGAGUAGUCC
RNAcentral lists this ribosomal RNA (428 nucleotides) under uncultured bacterium. RNAcentral describes it as "partial 16S ribosomal RNA". It matches the Rfam family "Bacterial small subunit ribosomal RNA", at positions 354 to 796 of the family's 1533-position model. The record is from RNAcentral.